AGUGAACGCUGGCGGUAGGCCUAACACAUGCAAGUCGAACGGCAGCACAGUAAGAGCUUGCUCUUACGGGUGGCGAGUGGCGGACGGGUGAGGAAUACAUCGGAAUCUACCUUUUCGUGGGGGAUAACGUAGGGAAACUUACGCUAAUACCGCAUACGACCUACGGGUGAAAGCAGGGGAUCUUCGGACCUUGCGCGAUUGAAUGAGCCGAUGUCGGAUUAGCUGGUUGGCGGGGUAAAGGCCCACCAAGGCGACGAUCCGUAGCUGGUCUGAGAGGAUGAUCAGCCACACUGGAACUGAGACACGGUCCAGACUCCUACGGGAGGCAGCAGUGGGGAAUAUUGGACAAUGGGCGCAAGCCUGAUCCAGCCAUACCGCGUGGGUGAAGAAGGCCUUCGGGUUGUAAAGCCCUUUUGUUGGGAAAGAAAAGCAGCAGGUUAAUACCCCGCUGUUCUGACGGUACCCAAAGAAUAAGCACCGGCUAACUUCGUG
This 492-nucleotide ribosomal RNA is filed under the name uncultured bacterium. RNAcentral's name for it is "partial 16S ribosomal RNA". It matches the Rfam family "Bacterial small subunit ribosomal RNA", at positions 29 to 507 of the family's 1533-position model. The record is from RNAcentral.